Molecule: ribosomal RNA, 253 nt
Filed under: uncultured bacterium
Lineage: Bacteria
Description: partial 16S ribosomal RNA
Rfam family: Bacterial small subunit ribosomal RNA
Source: RNAcentral
UACGUAGGUGGCAAGCGAUACUCGGAAUCACUAGGCGUAAAGCGCAGGUAGGCGGUUCGAUAAGUCUGUUGUGAAAGCUCCCGGCUUAACUGGGAGAGGUCAACGGAAACUGUCGGGCUAGAGUGUGGUAGAGGUAGCUGGAAUUCCCGGUGUAGCGGUGAAAUGCGCAGAUAUCAGGAAGAACACCCGUGGCGAAGGCGGCUCUCUGGGACGGUACUGACGCUGAGACGCGAAAGCGUGGGGAGCGAACAGG